UACGGAGGGUGCAAACGUUGCUCGGAAUUAUUGGGCGUAAAGCGCACGUAGGCGGUUCGUUAUGUCGGGUGUGAAAUCCCUCGGCUUAACCGAGGAAGUGCAUUCGAAACUGGCGAGCUAGAGUACUGAAGAGGGUCGCGGAAUUCCCGGUGUAGAGGUGAAAUUCGUAGAUAUCGGGAGGAACACCAGUGGCGAAGGCGGCGACCUGGGCAGAUACUGACACUGAGGUGCGAAAGCGUGGGGAGCAAACAGG
This 253-nucleotide ribosomal RNA is filed under the name uncultured bacterium. RNAcentral's name for it is "partial 16S ribosomal RNA". It matches the Rfam family "Bacterial small subunit ribosomal RNA", at positions 524 to 776 of the family's 1533-position model. The record is from RNAcentral.